RNAcentral lists this ribosomal RNA (442 nucleotides) under uncultured bacterium. Its description in RNAcentral is "partial 16S ribosomal RNA". It matches the Rfam family "Bacterial small subunit ribosomal RNA", at positions 338 to 795 of the family's 1533-position model. The record is from RNAcentral.
CCUACGGGAGGCAGCAGUGGGGGAUAUUGCACAAUGGGGGAAACCCUGAUGCAGCGACGCCGCGUGGGCGAAGAAGUCUUUCGGUAUGUAAAGCCCUAUCAGCAGGGAAGCAGCACUGACGGUACCUGAGUAAGAAGCACCGGCUAAAUACGUGCCAGCAGCCGCGGGAAUACGUAUGGUGCAAGCGUUAUCCGGAUUUACUGGGGGUAAAGGGAGCGCAGGCGGCACGGCAAGCCUGAUGUGAAAGCCCGCGGCCCAACCGCGGGACUGCAUUGGGAACUACCGGGCGGGAGUGCCGGAGAGGUAGGCGGAAUUCCUAGUGUAGCGGUGAAAUGCGUAGAUAUUAGGAGGAACACCAGUGGCGAAGGCGGCCUACUGGACGGUGACUGACGCUGAGGCUCGAAAGCGUGGGGAGCAAACAGGAUUAGAUACCCCGGUAGUC